GGGCGUAUCGUCUAACGGCAAGGAUCUUCGGUUCUCAUCCGAAAGGUCGGGGUUCGAAUCCCCGUACGCUCACCA
This 75-nucleotide transfer RNA is filed under the name Planctomycetota bacterium. RNAcentral describes it as "Planctomycetes bacterium (activated sludge metagenome) tRNA-Glu". It matches the Rfam family "tRNA". Rfam says of the family: Transfer RNA (tRNA) molecules are approximately 80 nucleotides in length. Lineage: Bacteria; Pseudomonadati; Planctomycetota. The record is from RNAcentral.